Molecule: ribosomal RNA, 253 nt
Filed under: uncultured bacterium
Lineage: Bacteria
Description: partial 16S ribosomal RNA
Rfam family: Bacterial small subunit ribosomal RNA
Source: RNAcentral
UACGGAGGGUCCAAGCGUUAUCCGGAAUCAUUGGGUUUAAAGGGUCCGCAGGCGGACUUAUAAGUCAGUGGUGAAAGCCCAUAGCUUAACUAUGGAACUGCCAUUGAUACUGUAAGUCUUGAAUUCGGUCGAAGUGGGCGGAAUAUGUCAUGUAGCGGUGAAAUGCAUAGAUAUGACAUAGAACACCGAUAGCGAAGGCAGCUCACUAGGCCUGGAUUGACGCUCAGGGACGAAAGCGUGGGGAGCGAACAGG